CCUACGGGUGGCAGCAGUGAGGAAUAUUGGUCAAUGGACGAGAGUCUGAACCAGCCAAGUAGCGUGAAGGAUGACUGCCCUAUGGGUUGUAAACUUCUUUUAUAUGGGAAUAAAAUGUUCCACGUGUGGGAUUUUGUAUGUACCAUAUGAAUAAGGAUCGGCUAACUCCGUGCCAGCAGCCGCGGUAAUACGGAGGAUCCGAGCGUUAUCCGGAUUUAUUGGGUUUAAAGGGGGCGUAGGGGGGUUAUUAAGUCAGUGGUGAAAUUUGGCGGCUCAACCGUAAAAUUGCAGUUGAAACUGGGAGUCUUGAGUACAGUAGAGGUAGGCGGAAUGCGUGGUGUAGCGGUGAAAUGCUUAGAUAUCACGAAGAACUCCGAUUGCGAAGGCAGCUCACUGGACUGCAACUGACACUGAGGCACGAAAGUGUGGGUAUCAAACAGGAUUAGAUACCCUUGUAGUC
Molecule: ribosomal RNA, 460 nt
Filed under: uncultured bacterium
Lineage: Bacteria
Description: partial 16S ribosomal RNA
Rfam family: Bacterial small subunit ribosomal RNA
Source: RNAcentral